AGAUUGAACGCUGGCGGCAGGCCUAACACAUGCAAGUCGAGCGGUAGAGAGGUGCUUGCACCUCUUGAGAGCGGCGGACGGGUGAGUAAUGCCUAGGAAUCUGCCUAGUGGUGGGGGAUAACGUUCGGAAACGGACGCUAAUACCGCAUACGUCCUACGGGAGAAAGCGGGGGACCUUCGGGCCUCGCGCCAUUAGAUGAGCCUAGGUCGGAUUAGCUAGUUGGUGAGGUAAUGGCUCACCAAGGCGACGAUCCGUAACUGGUCUGAGAGGAUGAUCAGUCACACUGGAACUGAGACACGGUCCAGACUCCUACGGGAGGCAGCAGUGGGGGAAUAUUGGACAAUGGGCGAAAGCCUGAUCCAGCCAUGCCGCGUGUGUGAAAG
RNAcentral lists this ribosomal RNA (384 nucleotides) under uncultured soil bacterium. Its description in RNAcentral is "bacterial SSU rRNA". It matches the Rfam family "Bacterial small subunit ribosomal RNA", at positions 26 to 411 of the family's 1533-position model. The record is from RNAcentral.